Molecule: ribosomal RNA, 111 nt
Organism: Cricetulus griseus (Chinese hamster)
Lineage: Eukaryota; Metazoa; Chordata; Mammalia; Rodentia; Cricetidae
Source: Ensembl
GAAGUAUAAAUUACUACCCUGGACAUGCCUGAUCUUGUCUGAUCCUGGAAGCUAAGCAGGGUUGGGCCUGGUUAGUACUUGGAUAGGAGGCAGCACUUGUCUUUGACUAGA